Long non-coding RNA from Magnolia sinica, 1414 nucleotides. RefSeq lists it as uncharacterized. NCBI's taxonomy places the organism in Eukaryota, Viridiplantae, Streptophyta, Magnoliopsida, Magnoliales, Magnoliaceae. The record is from RefSeq and is a predicted model, not a curated record. The transcript has 3 exons.
AUAUCAUCUUACAGGUUGCAAUCGACUGUAUGGUGGAGAGUUACAAUGAACCUGCCUGGGUUCUUUCUGACUAACCAAAGAAGUCAAACAAUUAACGCCUAAUAGAACACCUACAUGAGAAAUUUCUAAGCACCAUCAUCGAUAAUUUCCUUGAAAAUUUUCCCACCCUUUAUAUAGAUGUGAAAAGUCAACAUUAGCUCUCAAACAGUUGAGUUUGAUCUGCAGACGGUUGGAUUCGCUUCUUUCAAAGUGGGGAUUAUGUUCUUCUAGCGAACAUGUUUGCAAGUGCUAGCCAAUGGAACAAAGUGACAAGAGUGAGAGAGGCAAUGAGAAACAGAGGAGUUCAGAAACCAGAGCCAGGUAAGAAGUUCUGGACUGUGUUUCAUCUGCAGCCUAUGCGUGAUCAGAAGGUACAAUUCCAAAAAAAUAUCAUCUAAUUUCACAUUAUUUCCAUUGCUUUAUGAUUAUACAAUUCCAAAAAAAUGAGAAGCAGAGGUUAACAGUACACAGACUGCUGAAAUUGAUGUUUUACCAAUAGAUCACUACUAUGAUGCCUUAGGAGGGCCUGAAUUGGAUACUCUCAGGGUACAUGGACUUUUGUUUUUUUUUUUUUGCUGCUACUGUUGUUGUGCUCCAUUUGCUUCGUUCAGCUGACAGGAUAUCAUCUCUAUAAUUAUAAAUGUUGUUUCAAAGCAAGUGUGGAGUGCUACUAAUUUGGAGAGAUCUGACAUAAAUAAAGUCUUCUAUUGGUACGAGAGCAUAAUCAAGUUCUCAAAUCUGCACUUGAUUGAAAAAGAUCUUAAUGGCAUUAGUGCUAACAUGGAAUGCAUAUGCAAAGUUAGUUAUUUAUGUGCAAAAAAAGAAAAAAAAAAAGGAGAAUGUGGUCCCGACCCAAUUGAGGAAGUUAUGCCCAAAGUGUAGUUAGCAUAGUGUCCCAGUGGGAAUCAGAAGUUUAACUGGUAAUGGUAUCAUCUCUCCUUGAUAGGGGCAAUAGUAAUGGACUGAAGACAACUGAAUCUGCUAAGGCAUCUAGAAGACAGUCCAUCAAUUUAUUAUUAUUAUUAUUUUUUCAUUUUCUUCAGAUUCUGAAUCUGCUAAGGCAUCUAGAAGACAACUGAAAGAGACAAUCUACUCAGUGUUGUUUGAUAUGAAUGUUCCUGCUGUUUGUAGAAGAACUGUAGGCAUGGCAGCUGAGACCACUUCUCAUCACAUUAUUGUUGAAGUGUGCAACAUUCGCAGGAAGACAAAUAAAUCUUCUUAAAAAAAGGUGAAAGAGCGUGCUUCUUUCUCCCAAAGCAAUUUAUAACCUCUUGACAAGAGUGCAGGAUCUCAUCCAUGCUCCGCUCGAGUACUUUCAAGCGCAUCUUAUCAAGGUGAAUGUGGCCAACAAGGCCUGUAUCCGCUUCUGAACUUU